RNAcentral lists this ribosomal RNA (442 nucleotides) under uncultured bacterium. RNAcentral describes it as "partial 16S ribosomal RNA". It matches the Rfam family "Bacterial small subunit ribosomal RNA", at positions 338 to 795 of the family's 1533-position model. The record is from RNAcentral.
CCUACGGGAGGCAGCAGUGGGGAAUAUUGGGCAAUGGGCGCAAGCCUGACCCAGCAACGCCGCGUGAAGGAAGAAGGCUUUCGGGUUGUAAACUUCUUUUAAGAGGGAAGAGCAGAAGACGGUACCUCUUGAAUAAGCUACGGCUAACUACGUGCCAGCAGCCGCGGUAAUACGUAGGUGGCAAGCGUUGUCCGGAUUUACUGGGUGUAAAGGGCGUGCAGCCGGGAAGACAAGUCAGAUGUGAAAUCCCGCGGCUCAACCGCGGAACUGCAUUUGAAACUGUUUUUCUUGAGUACCGGAGAGGUCAUCGGAAUUCCUGGUGUAGCGGUGAAAUGCGUAGAUAUAAGGAAGAACACCAGUGGCGAAGGCAGAUGACUGGACGGCAACUGACGGUGAGGCGCGAAAGCGUGGGGAGCAAACAGGAUUAGAUACCCCAGUAGUC